AAUGAACGCUGGCGGCGCGCCUAAUACAUGCAAGUCGAGCGAGAAGACGUAGCAAUACGUUUGUAAAGCGGCGAACGGGUGAGGAAUACAUGGGGUAACCUACCCUCGAGUGGGGAAUAACUAGCCGAAAGGUUAGCUAAUACCGCGUACGCUUCUUGGACUUCGGUUCAGGGAGGGAAGCGAUACCGUGGGUAUCGCGCUCUUGGAUGGGCUCAUGUCCUAUCAGCUUGUUGGGAGGUAACGGCUCACCAAGGCUUCGACGGGUAGCUGGUCUGAGAGGACGAUCAGCCACACUGGCACUGCGACACGGGCCAGACUCCUACGGGGAGGCAGCAGUAAGGAAUAUUGCG
Molecule: ribosomal RNA, 350 nt
Filed under: uncultured bacterium
Lineage: Bacteria
Description: bacterial SSU rRNA
Rfam family: Bacterial small subunit ribosomal RNA
Source: RNAcentral